UUAGGAUUUUGGCUCGUCAAAUAUGUCCUAGUUGGUUUAGGAUUGCUUUAGGAAAAUUAGAGGUAUUCUUGUCCUAGAGGGAUUAGGAAAGAAUUUCAGUUUUCCUUAUUCAAUUCAGGUUUGGAUUUCUAGAAGCCUAUUUGGUUUUGGAUAAGUGUAAUUUCCUAAUCCACUUAGGAAUAGGAAUUCAAUCAGCCUUGGGACAUGUAAGCCAA
Non-coding RNA from Prunus avium (sweet cherry), 215 nucleotides. NCBI's taxonomy places the organism in Eukaryota, Viridiplantae, Streptophyta, Magnoliopsida, Rosales, Rosaceae. The record is from RefSeq and is a predicted model, not a curated record.